RNAcentral lists this ribosomal RNA (64 nucleotides) under Filobasidium magnum. Its description in RNAcentral is "partial 28S ribosomal RNA". It matches the Rfam family "Eukaryotic large subunit ribosomal RNA", at positions 1 to 62 of the family's 3401-position model. The record is from RNAcentral. Lineage: Eukaryota; Fungi; Basidiomycota; Tremellomycetes; Filobasidiales; Filobasidiaceae.
UCUGGCCUCAAAUCAAGUAGGACUACCCGCUGAACUUAAGCAUAUCAAUAAGCGGAGGAAAAGA